AUUUGAUGCGUUUAGAGCCCCACACGUUGGGCGCAAUUUGAAGCAUUUUACAUACAACUGGAGCCGGAAGGAGGCCAAAAAUGAGUCGAGCCACACACGUUGGGCGCCAUUUGAAGCCGUUUAACAUGUCUGCUCAUAUGGGAACAAGGAAAGACUAUCUAUAGAGAUACUGGGGGGUAAGAAUGGGGCUAAAGAAGAAGAAGCAGACACAUAAAGCCUCGUUGCGGGACGGCAGCUCAUUUGUUGUGCGGGAGCUAGGUCGUAGAUUCGUUAGGGAGGGUGAAGGGGUGUUAAGAUGACUACACUACCAUAACUAAAUACAUAAGGGUACUUACUCUGACUAGAGGAUCUUUCUACUAUUUAACAAAAAGGGACGCCGUUUGAAAUAAAUCCUCUAUUUCACCUAUGGGUACUUACUGGAUACUUUCUUACUUACGGGUACCAAUCGGGGGGACAAUCAUCAUUGAUUCCUCUUUGGGGUUACAUUGGGACAACAUCUUUCCUUAUUAUUGGCUUCUAUGCCAUAUUCUUUCUUUUCUCCUGAACUAAAACUUUCAUACAGUUGCAUUAGUUUUCUGUUAAAAUUUUUCCAAAGGCUACAGAAAUGAGAUGAUAGAUACACUUUCACAAACAUUUAUUUAAAACUUUACGGUGGUUUUUUUUUUAAACAAACAAAAAAACUUUUAACAGGAAAUGAUUUUACAGGACAAAAUAUCUACAAAUCUUUUACAUUACAAAAAAAAUCUUCAAUUUAACAUAACAAAAGAAUGACAAAAGAACUUGUUGGACAGUGUAUGUCAAAACAAAAUUUUGACGCAGCUGUCAAAGGUCAAAGUCACUGUCAUUUUAAUUUACAAGUUGCAUCAUGAAAGCACAAACAACUAUUAUUUUUCAAAACUCUUUACCAACAAAAAUAUUUAUCCAUUUGGGAUCCUUGCAAAAUUUAAAAAAAUAUAUCAUACCAUAUUUAAACAAAAUCCUUUAUCACACGUCACAAACUACACGGAAAGGGGGUUCAUCUACAAACAAACAGGGUCAUCGACCUGAGGUGGGCUUCAUGGCUUCCUUUUUAUUUCGGGGCAAUCAACUGGAUAAACAUCACGGGACUGGAACUCAAAAUGUCUACAUCAGGACAUCAAUCGGGACUCGGAAGACUUCAUUUAAACAGGAACUUGGACAAGAUACAGGGACUUCAUACCACGCCGGCGUAUAGUACUGCGUCACAACUCAAACACAGUGUAAGAGCACCCAACUUCACUACGGGGUAAAAAAAAAAACAUCGUGCCCUCACACUAGAUCUUCCAGAACGACAUACUAUACCCUUUACCGGCGGGUAACAAAA
Long non-coding RNA from Diabrotica virgifera virgifera (western corn rootworm), 1342 nucleotides. RefSeq lists it as uncharacterized. Lineage: Eukaryota; Metazoa; Arthropoda; Insecta; Coleoptera; Chrysomelidae. The transcript is spliced from 2 exons. The record is from RefSeq and is a predicted model, not a curated record.